This 484-nucleotide ribosomal RNA is filed under the name uncultured bacterium. RNAcentral describes it as "partial 16S ribosomal RNA". It matches the Rfam family "Bacterial small subunit ribosomal RNA", at positions 29 to 523 of the family's 1533-position model. The record is from RNAcentral.
AGUGAACGCUGGCGGCGUGCUUAACACAUGCAAGUCGAACGAGAACGGAUUAUAGCUUGCUAUAAUUGUCAGCUAAGUGGCGCGCGGGUGAGUAAUGUAUAGGUAAUAUGCCUCUUACUAAGGGAUAACAAAUGGAAACGUUUGCUAAUACCUUAUACUCCUUAUUAACAGAAGUUAAUAAGGGAAAGAUUUAUUGGUAAGAGAUUAGCCUGUAUUGUACCAGUUAGUUGGUGGGGCAAUGGCUUACCAAGACUAUGACACAUAACUGGUUUGAGAGGAUGAUCAGUCACACUGGAACUGAGACACGGUCCAGACUCCUACGGGAGGCAGCAGUGGGGAAUAUUGCACAAUGGACGAAAGUCUGAUGCAGCAACGCCGCGUGGAGGAUGACACAUUUCGGUGCGUAAACUCCUUUUAUAUGAGAAGAUAAUGACGGUAUUAUAUGGAUAAGCACCGGCUAACUCCGUGCCAGCCGCCGCCGUAA